RNAcentral lists this small RNA (27 nucleotides) under Bombyx mori (domestic silkworm). Its description in RNAcentral is "ovarian small RNA-17229". The record is from RNAcentral. Lineage: Eukaryota; Metazoa; Arthropoda; Insecta; Lepidoptera; Bombycidae.
GGAAUUAUUAUCUAAAAUUGAGCAAGC